GAUGAACGCUGGCGGCGUGCCUAAUACAUGCAAGUAGAACGCUGAAGGAGGAGCUUGCUCUUCUGGAUGAGUUGCGAACGGGUGAGUAACGCGUAGGUAACCUGCCUGGUAGCGGGGGAUAACUAUUGGAAACGAUAGCUAAUACCGCAUGACAACAGUUAUUGCAUGAUAACUGUUUAAAAGGGGCAACUGCUCCACUACCAGAUGGACCUGCGUUGUAUUAGCUAGUUGGUGAGGUAACGGCUCACCAAGGCGACGAUACAUAGCCGACCUGAGAGGGUGAUCGGCCACACUGGGACUGAGACACGGCCCAGACUCCUACGGGAGGCAGCAGUAGGGAAUCUUCGGCAAUGGACGGAAGUCUGACCGAGCAACGCCGCGUGAGUGAAGAAGGUUUUCGGUUCGUAAAGCUCUGUUGUAAGAGAAGAACGAGUGUGAGAGUGGAAAGUUCACACUGUGACGGUAUCUUACCAGAAAGGGACGGCUAACUACGUG
This 495-nucleotide ribosomal RNA is filed under the name uncultured bacterium. Its description in RNAcentral is "partial 16S ribosomal RNA". It matches the Rfam family "Bacterial small subunit ribosomal RNA", at positions 28 to 507 of the family's 1533-position model. The record is from RNAcentral.